CUAGCAAAGUGAAAUCUUAUACAGUUAAAUUAAAGCAUUAUUGACGUUACAGAGCUGUCCUUCAAUGUCUGUUAUGAACGUUGCCGUCACUACCGCAAUGCAUUUUGGGAUAUUUAUGCCGCCGUAGUAUCCAGCGUUGCAUACUGCAAUAUUUCACUGGAAAUAGUAUGCAAUUCACGUACUAUUGAUUUCAUACUAGGGUUUCGGACAUACUAACAAAUCUCAAUAUUCUUUUAGCGUACUAAAUAGCAUGAUAGUAUAGAAUUUCAGACGCAAAAACGCCCGAAAUCAGAACUGUGUCCAUAGCAACGGUCUGUUAUACAUAGCAAUAAAAAAAUAACAGACCGUAGAACGCCGUGAUUGACCAAUCAGAAUCGGGUGUUCAACAAAGCUGUGUAAUAAAGGCCUGGUGUCAUUCCUGGUGGAUGAGCGUGCUGCAAUGAGUUUCACACAGUAGCACAGACGAUCAUCAAACGACAGCCUCCACCACAGGGCAUCUAUACAAAAGGAAAUUUCACACCGGGUCAUACAAUUCCUGCUUUUGCCAUCCUCUCUCGCAUGCUGUCUUUAUGAGACGUGCUCAUUGUGAAAUGUAGUUGUGACACUGCAGAGCGUGUGUCUUGACCACAUGUGAUAGCCAAGACCAAAGGGGAACCCCUGAUUUUCCUCUUCUCCACCGAAAUAAUUAUGACAGUGUGAAACAAAACCAGGAGGUAACCGCUGCAGGGAUCUGUAUCUGGACGGCGAUCGGAUACGAGGAGACUCUUUAUGAAGAUCACGGAUCGAUCAGCGUCCUGUGGGGAGCUACUGGGCGUGGCUUAGGCGUGUGAAACGACAUGGAGACGCGACCGUUCGUUCUAAACAUCAAUGGCGGGUCCUGAAGAGAUUCAGACCAAAAUAGACCAGACAUCGAAACCAUCUCUGAAGAUCCGUUGGUACGUGCUGUGUGAACAGGGGCAGCGCUUCUCCGAAAAUCUCGGCGCUUCCGUGGCCCUUUGUGAACCCGGUAGGAUACAGGCUCAAAUUGAUCGCAGAUCGCUGGGCACAGAGGAGAAACAGAAGGUUCUGGGGUGAAAGGAAGUGGGUGAUGACGGUUAUUGGAGACAAGGUUAAUAAGUUUGAAAGCAGUGGACACGCAACAGACUUGCAGCCCAGAGAGGACACACUAUUCACUCCGGAGGCACAGAUGCUCCAAUUUUUUACAAUAAAUAUAACGAAUUUGAAAAA
Sebastes umbrosus (honeycomb rockfish) is the source of this 1227-nucleotide long non-coding RNA. RefSeq lists it as uncharacterized. The transcript is spliced from 3 exons. The record is from RefSeq and is a predicted model, not a curated record. Lineage: Eukaryota; Metazoa; Chordata; Actinopteri; Perciformes; Sebastidae.